UAUCAAGCGUUUAAGAGCAUUUGAUGGAUGCCUUGGCACACAGAGGCGAUGAAGGACGUAGUACGUUGCGAUAAGCUUCGGGGAGUUACGAACAAACUUUGAUCCGAAGAUUUCCGAAUGGGGCAACCCAACUCUUUUGAGUUAUUGCUAACUGAAUACAUAGGUUAGUAAAGCGAACCCAGCGAACUGAAACAUCUAAGUAGCUGGAGGAAAGGAUAUCAACCGAUACUCCGUAAGUAGUGGCGAGCGAAAGCGGAUCAGGCCAGUGGUUUUAAUUGUACAACCAAAAUUACCUGGAAAGGUAAACCGUAGAGAGUGAUAGUCUCGUAUGGGUAAUGACGAUUAAAAUCCUUGAGUAAGACGGGACACGUGAAAUCCUGUCCGAAUAUGGGGGGACCACCCUCCAAGCCUAAGUACUACUGUGUGACCGAUAGUGAACUAGUACCGUGAGGGAAAGGUGAAAAGAACCCCGACGAGGGGAGUGAAAUAGAUCCUGAAAUUGAAUGCUUACAAGCUGUCGAAGCCCGCAAGGGUGACGGCGUACCUUUUGUAUAAUGGGUCAGCGAGUUAGUUUAAGUUGCAAGCUUAAGCCGUGAGGUGUAGGCGUAGCGAAAGCGAGUCUGAAUAGGGCGUUAGUAUCUUGAAUUAAACCCGAAACCGAGUGAUCUAGCCAUGAGCAGGUUGAAGAUAAGGUAAUACUUAUUGGAGGACCGAACCAUUAGACGUUGAAAAGUCUUUGGAUGACUUGUGGUUAGGGGUGAAAGGCCAAUCAAACUCGGAUAUAGCUGGUUCUCCGCGAAAACUAUUUAGGUAGUGCGUCAUAUGAAUACCAUCGGGGGUAAAGCACUGGAUGGGCAAGGGGGAAGAAAUUCUUACUAAGUCCAACCAAACUCUGAAUACCGAUGAGUAAUAUAUGGCAGACAGACUACGGGUGCUAAGGUCCGUGGUCGAGAGGAAAACAGUCCAGACCAACAGCUAAGGUCCCCAAGUUAUUGUUAAGUGGGAAAGGAUGUCGGACGACCAAAACAGCCAGGAGGUUGGCUUAGAAGCAGCCAUCCUUUAAAGAAAGCGUAACAGCUCACUGGUCUAAAUAAGUUGUCCGGCGCCGAAGAUUUAACGGGGCUAAACAAUACACCGAAGCUUUGGACACAAUUUAUUGUGUGGUAGCGGAGCGUUCCGUACGUUGUUGAAGGGAGACUCGUGAGAGCUCCUGGAGAUAUCGGAAGUGAGAAUGCUGACAUGAGUAGCGACAAAAAGUGUGAGAAACACUUUCGCCGAAAAUCCAAGGGUUCCUGCGCAAGGCUAAUCCGCGCAGGGUGAGUCGGCUCCUAAGGCGAGGUCGAAAGACGUAGUCGAUGGGAAACAGGUUAAUAUUCCUGUACCUGAUGAGAUGUGACGGAUGACGUAUAUUGUAUACCCUUAUAAUGAUUGGGUGUGCAGUGAAGUUGUUCCAGGAAAUAGCCUCAUCAUUAAAGACCGUACCCGAAACCGACACAGGUGGAUAGGUAGAAUAUACCAAGGCGCUUGAGAGAACUAUGCUGAAGGAACUCGGCAAAAUACCUCCGUAACUUCGGGAGAAGGAGGACCUAUGUUUGGGCAACCAGAUGUAGGUGGCACAGAAAUGGGGGUAGCAACUGUUUAUUAAAAACACAGGACUCUGCAAAGCCGCAAGGCGAAGUAUAGGGUCUGACGCCUGCCCGGUGCCGGAAGAUUAAAGUGAGUGGUGCAAGCUACGAGCUGAAGUCCCGGUGAACGGCGGCCGUAACUAUAACGGUCCUAAGGUAGCGAAAUUCCUUGUCGGGUAAGUUCCGACCUGCACGAAUGGCGUAAUGAUUUCCCCGCUGUCUCCAGCAUAGACUCAGCGAAAUUGAAUUCUCCGUGAAGAUGCGGAGUACCCGCGGUUAGACGGAAAGACCCCGUGCACCUUUACUAUAGCUUUACAUUGGUGUUAGAAAUUACAUGUGUAGGAUAGGUGGUAGACUUUGAAGUAAGGGCGCUAGCUCUUAUGGAGUCAUCCUUGAAAUACCACUCUUGUAAUUUUUGACAUCUAACUGAGGCCCAUUAUCUGGGUCCAAGACAGUGUAUGGUGGGUAGUUUGACUGGGGCGGUCGCCUCCUAAAAAGUAACGGAGGCGUGCGAAGGUAGGCUCAAGCUGGUCGGAAAUCAGCUGUUGAGUGCAAUGGCAUAAGCCUGCCUGACUGCGAGACUGACAAGUCGAGCAGAGACGAAAGUCGGUCAUAGUGAUCCGGUGGUUCUGAGUGGAAGGGCCAUCGCUCAACGGAUAAAAGGUACGCCGGGGAUAACAGGCUGAUACCGCCCAAGAGUUCAUAUCGACGGCGGUGUUUGGCACCUCGAUGUCGGCUCAUCACAUCCUGGGGCUGGAGCAGGUCCCAAGGGUUCGGCUGUUCGCCGAUUAAAGUGGUACGUGAGCUGGGUUUAGAACGUCGUGAGACAGUUCGGUCCCUAUCUGCCGUGGGUGUUGAAGAAUUGAGAGGAGUUACUCCUAGUACGAGAGGACCGGAGUGAACGUACCAAUGGUGUACCAGUUGUCAUGCAUUUGGCAUCGCUGGGUAGCUAAGUACGGACGGGAUAACCGCUGAAAGCAUCUAAGCGGGAAGCCUCCCUCGAAACUAAUUCUUCCUUGAGAGUCGUGGUAGACCACCACGUUGAUAGGUCAGGUGUGGAAGUACAGCAAUGUAUGAAGCUAACUGAUACUAAUAACUCGAUCGGCUUGAUUUU
Molecule: ribosomal RNA, 2739 nt
Filed under: Candidatus Pelagibacterales bacterium
Lineage: Bacteria; Pseudomonadati; Pseudomonadota; Alphaproteobacteria; Candidatus Pelagibacterales
Description: 23S ribosomal RNA
Rfam family: Bacterial large subunit ribosomal RNA
Source: RNAcentral